Molecule: transfer RNA, 72 nt
Filed under: Camelus bactrianus (Bactrian camel)
Lineage: Eukaryota; Metazoa; Chordata; Mammalia; Artiodactyla; Camelidae
Also listed under: 2 other names
Rfam family: tRNA
About the family: Transfer RNA (tRNA) molecules are approximately 80 nucleotides in length. Their secondary structure includes four short double-helical elements and three loops (D, anti-codon, and T loops). Further hydrogen bonds mediate the characteristic L-shaped molecular structure. tRNAs have two regions of fundamental functional importance: the anti-codon, which is responsible for specific mRNA codon recognition, and the 3' end, to which the tRNAs corresponding amino acid is attached (by aminoacyl-tRNA synthetases). tRNAs cope with the degeneracy of the genetic code in two manners: having more than one tRNA (with a specific anti-codon) for a particular amino acid; and 'wobble' base-pairing, i.e. permitting non-standard base-pairing at the 3rd anti-codon position.
Source: Rfam by way of RNAcentral
GAGGGUAUAGCUCCGCGGUAGAGUGUCUGCGUAGCAUGCAUGAGGUCCUGGGUUCAAUCCCCAGUACCUCCA